ACACAGCCGUCUGGAGAGACGCCGCAUGCAAGGUGCGGCGCACCGAAGGAGCAAAGCCCCAGCGUAAGCCGCGGCUGAAUCUCUCAGGUAACAGGGACAGUGGAAGCGG
Molecule: non-coding RNA, 109 nt
Filed under: Polaromonas sp.
Lineage: Bacteria; Pseudomonadati; Pseudomonadota; Betaproteobacteria; Burkholderiales; Comamonadaceae
Description: Glycine sequence
Rfam family: Glycine riboswitch aptamer
About the family: This family represents the bacterial glycine riboswitch. Glycine riboswitches usually consist of two metabolite-binding aptamers domains with similar structures in tandem. The aptamers cooperatively bind glycine to regulate the expression of downstream genes.
Source: RNAcentral